Molecule: ribosomal RNA, 407 nt
Filed under: uncultured bacterium
Lineage: Bacteria
Description: partial 16S ribosomal RNA
Rfam family: Bacterial small subunit ribosomal RNA
Source: RNAcentral
AUUGAACGCUGGCGGCAGGCCUAACACAUGCAAGUCGAGCGGAGCGGCGGACGGGUGAGUAAUGCCUAGGAAUCUACCUGGUAGUUGGGGCUAACGUCCGGAAACGGGCCCGAAUCUCGCAUCCUAUAAGCUGAGCCUAGGUCGGAGUAGCGAGUUGGUGGGGUAAAGGCUUACCAAGGCGACGAUCCGUAACUGGCCUGAGAGGAUGAUCAGUCACACUGGAACUGAGACACGGUCCAGACUCCUACGGGAGGCAGCAGUGGGGAAUAUUGGGCAAUGGGCGAAAGCCUGACCCAGCCAUGCCGCGUGUGUGAAGAAGGUCUUCGGAUUGUAAAGCUCUUUAAGUUGGGAGGCGUUACCAACAGAAUAAGCACCGGCUAACUUCGUGCCAGCAGCCGCGGUAAUAC